GAUUAACGCUGGCGCCGUGCCUAAUACAUGCAAAUCGAGCGAACGGACGAGAAGCUUGCUUCUCUGAUGUUAGCGGCGGACGGGUGAGUAACACGUGGAGAACCUACCUAUAAGACUGGGAUAACUUCGGGAAACCGUAGCUAAUACCGGAUAAUAUUUUGAACCGCAUGGUUCAAAAGUGAAAGACGGUCUUGCUGUCACUUAUAGAUGGAUCCGCGCUGCAUUAGCUAGUUGGUAAGGUAACGGCUUACCAAGGCAACGAUGCAUAGCCGACCUGAGAGGGUGAUCGGCCACACUGGAACUGAGACGCGGCCCAGACUCCUACGGGAGGCAGCAGUAGGGAAUCUUCCGCAAUGGGCGAAAGCCUGACGGAGCAACGCCGCGUGAGUGAUGCAGGUCUUCGGAUCGUAAAACUCUGUUAUUAGGGAAGAACAUAUGUGUAAGUAACUGUGCACAUCUUGACGGUACCUAAUCAGAAAGCCACGGCUAACUACGUG
RNAcentral lists this ribosomal RNA (497 nucleotides) under uncultured bacterium. RNAcentral's name for it is "partial 16S ribosomal RNA". It matches the Rfam family "Bacterial small subunit ribosomal RNA", at positions 28 to 507 of the family's 1533-position model. The record is from RNAcentral.